Molecule: ribosomal RNA, 553 nt
Filed under: uncultured bacterium
Lineage: Bacteria
Description: partial 16S ribosomal RNA
Rfam family: Bacterial small subunit ribosomal RNA
Source: RNAcentral
UAGGGAAUCUUCCACAAUGGACGCAAGUCUGAUGGAGCAACGCCGCGUGAGUGAAGAAGGUUUUCGGACCGUAAAGCUCUGUUGUUGGUGAAGAAGGAUAGAGGUAGUAACUGGCCUUUAUUUGACGGUAAUCAACCAGAAAGUCACGGCUAACUACGUGCCAGCAGCCGCGGUAAUACGUAGGUGGCAAGCGUUGUUCGGAUUUAUUGGGCGUAAAGCGAGCGCAGGCGGAAGAAUAAGUCUGAUGUGAAAGCCCUCGGCUUAACCGAGGAAUUGCAUCGGAAACUGUUUUUCUUGAGUGCAGAAGAGGAGAGUAGAACUCCAUGUGUAGCGGUGGAAUGCGUAGAUAUAUGGAAGAAUACCAGUGGCGAAGGCGGCUCUCUGGUCUGCAACUGACGCUGAGGCUCGAAAAGCAUGGGUAGCGAACAGGAUUAGAUACCUUGGUAGUCCAUGCCGUAAACGAUGAGUGCUAAGUGUUGGGAGGCUUCCGCCUCUCAGUGCUGCAGCUAACGCAUUAAGCACUCCGCCUGGGGGAGUACGACCGCAAGGUUGA